This 504-nucleotide ribosomal RNA is filed under the name uncultured Desulfobacca sp. RNAcentral's name for it is "bacterial SSU rRNA". It matches the Rfam family "Bacterial small subunit ribosomal RNA", at positions 8 to 491 of the family's 1533-position model. Lineage: Bacteria; Pseudomonadati; Thermodesulfobacteriota; Desulfobaccia; Desulfobaccales; Desulfobaccaceae. The record is from RNAcentral.
AGAGUUUGAUCAUGGCUCAGGACGAACGCUGGCGGCGUGCUUAAGACAUGCAAGUCGUACGAGAAAGUCUCUUCGGAGAUGAGUAAAGUGGCGCACGGGUGAGUAACGCGUGGGUAAUCUGCCCUUAGGUUUGGGAUAACCCCGGGAAACCGGAGCUAAUACCGAAUGAGACCACGAUGACUUCGGUCGAUGUGGGAAAAGGUGGCCUCUUCUUGAAAGCUAUCGCCAAAGGAUGAGCCCGCGUUUGAUUAGCUAGUUGGUGAGGUAAUGGCUCACCAAGGCGACGAUCAAUAGCUGGUCUGAGAGGAUGAUCAGCCACACUGGAACUGAGAUACGGUCCAGACUCCUACGGGAGGCAGCAGUCAGGAAUAUUGGGCAAUGGGCGAAAGCCUGACCCAGCAACGCCGCGUGAAGGAUGAAGGCCUUCGGGUCGUAAACUUCUGUCGAGAGGGAAGAAUGCGUACGGGUGAAUAAUCCGUGCGUUGACGGUACCUCCAAAGAGAU